UAAACUUGGGUUUAGGUUGUCAGCACUGAUUUAAAGAGAUUUGCUUUGUUCAGUUUGCUUCUGGGAAAGAACUGACAUUCACAGCAGGGUUUGGGGGUUAAGAAUGAAACCUGAGCUGGCUUCUUCCCCACUGGGUGUGUGCAGAGUGAGUCAGAUGUUUGCACAGAAGGCUGUGGUGUCAAAUCAAAUCCACAAAUUUGCAGGCCUUAUGCCUUUACCACUUCAAACCGGAAAGGUGUUGCAACAUAACAGUUUUAAUUGCUAAACCCUAGCUGCAAACCCAAAUCUCUGGAUUUAAUAAGAAUUGGGUGUGAAAGACUGUGAACAGUGGCAGUUUUCUGCCAGGUUUACCUUCUUUCCUGCUCUUGGUUGAGAUUUGCGGACCUUUGUAUCCACUGUGGUCUCCUUGGAACAAGCAACUGGAAAUUCUUCACACCAGCUAUGGCUGGUAGGAAUUUCGGGCCACAACUCAGGCUUCCAGACUCUGGACGGUAUUCCCAGAGUCAGCUCCCUUCUGAAUUGGGAGAAAGAGAGAAAGGAAAAUACAAGAAGACCCAACCAUGUGGAUUAACACCCUAUAGCAUGAUCCAGGCCCACAGCCAGCUCUGUGUUUCCAGAGUCAUAAUGGUGAAGAGGAUGGUGACAUCCAAGGACAACCACAGGGCCUCUCUCCUGACACUGGUGAGAACCAGAUUCCUUUCCCUGGUUCUGUAGCUCCCAGCAGAGUUUUGGAAGCUGAUUAAAGAGAAUGUUGGAAAUAACAGGCAAUUAGAAACCUUAUUAAAAAAAGGAAAAACACUCUCAUCAAACUUGCCAAAGCGUCUUAAUGGCUGGAUGUGGAGGAGGCAUUGGAAACUGCUGGCUGCAAGGGUCACUUGUGCCAGAGGGUGGCCUGGAAGCUGAGGAAAGUGUGGAGAGGGACUGGGGCCAGUUCCCAGGGACAGAGAGUGCAAGGGGACUGUUUAGGAAGUUAUUUCCGAGUUGAUGCGCCCAGUGAGUAUAAAGUGAAAGAAGGCCAUUUACAAGUCCUAAGAAAACCACAGCUGGUGAAACUGGUGGCAAAAGGACCAAAGGAAAAGAAAGGGACACACACACCCAUACACACACCUAUACACAGAAGAGACAGAGCCCACCACCAAGAGAGGCAGAGUGGAGUGCAUUUCCCCACUGGCCAGUUCCUCGACUGCUCAGAAUAUGCCACAACGGGUAGUUGGAAGGAGAUCAGCAGAGAUGAGGGUUCAGAUAAUCGAUGCAACUCACUGCUUUAGGGUUCCUCACCUCCUGCAGUCCCUAGGGACCACCCCCAGCAUGGCAGAGCUUGUGGGAGGUAAUUUGAAUGGCCAUGUGUGGGCUGAGUGCGGGUUUGGCCCUCAGGUGACCUGCUUGGACUCUGAUAGCAGUUGAGCAGCCCCCCGCUUCAGGGGUGCCUCC
RNAcentral lists this long non-coding RNA (1431 nucleotides) under Homo sapiens (human). RNAcentral's name for it is "HSALNT0311995". The record is from RNAcentral. Lineage: Eukaryota; Metazoa; Chordata; Mammalia; Primates; Hominidae.